Ribosomal RNA from Pteropus vampyrus (large flying fox), 135 nucleotides. The record is from Ensembl. Lineage: Eukaryota; Metazoa; Chordata; Mammalia; Chiroptera; Pteropodidae.
GUCUACGGACAUGCUACCCUGAACAAGCCCCAUCCCGUCUUAUCUCAGAAGCUACGCAGAGUCAGGGCUCAGCAGAGUCGGGCCUGGUUAGUACUUGGAUGGGAGACCACCUAGGAAGACCAGGUGCCGUAGGCG